Molecule: long non-coding RNA, 1150 nt
Filed under: Citrus x clementina
Lineage: Eukaryota; Viridiplantae; Streptophyta; Magnoliopsida; Sapindales; Rutaceae
Description: Citrus clementina (C. clementina) long non-coding RNA (CCLE_LNC001623)
Source: RNAcentral
UAAUAUAUUAGUUAAUAAUAAUUAUGACAAUAAUCUAUUAAGUACUUUUUAGUAAUUUGUUACAAUCUAAUUCAUUCCGAUUCCGAUUCCGAUUCUAAGACAAAGUAAACACAUUAAUAGCAAUCCAGCUCAUUCCGAUUUCGAUUCUUAUAGUUCAAGUAAACAACUUAUUUUGAUUCUCAUUCCCUAUAACCAUCUAACUCAUUCUCAUUCAUACCCAUUUCGAUUCCAGUUUAGUAAACGCAGCAUUAAUUUCUUCCUUCUUCAGCUGGGAAUUAAUUAUUACAAGGCAUUAAUGAUGAGUUGACCAUACGCUGUCAAGACCAUUCAUUGCCCAAAUCUGGCUUUAAUUUUCAUUUUAUUGAAAAAAUAUCGAGUGAUAAAAUUUUUCUUAAUGCUAUUUUGGGAAAGCAUUAAUGAUACAACCCUAAGUAAAAUUCAGUAGAGUACUCAUAAUUCAUAACCUUGAUGUCAUCCAUCGAGGUACUCUUACAUUGAUAUUGGGGCAAUUCAAUUCAAAAGAGACGUUCCAUGCUUCAUUUUUUUUUCCCUCUUUUAGUAAAAUCUCAAUGGUAAGAGAGUGUUUUAAACUAAAAAAACACCUAUAGUCAAGGAGGUAACGCUUAAAUUUAGAGUGAAGAAAAAUCUGACAAACGCACAUCAAAGAAUAAAGAAAAAAUAUAAAAACCACAAUAUCCAACAAAGGUUGCACUAAAACCAAAACUCAAGCUCGCAUAUGAUUCAUUCGUUAUUAAAAGACUAGGGGGGAAAAAAGGGAAAGAGAGAUAACCCUAGCUAAUUACAUUCAGCGAAGAAUCAAGCCCAAAUUCUCUUCUUCAGCCAAGUUGGUAAUCUUUAGCAUAGCUUGAAAAUUGUGAGAGUUCCCGACCAUCAUAAUUCUCCCAUUCUUUUUAAGCCCCCAAAAUUCAUUAGCUGAGACAAAGAAUGAACAACCAUUGCAACAAAAUAGCACCUCAUCCUCAGAAAAUGUCCACCUGCUACUCAUCCUCAUCAUAGUUCCAGACUCCAUUAUCAAACGCAGUAUCUUCAACAUCCUUUAGAAUAUCAAGCUUAAACUCAUGCAAACAAAAUGUAUUAAUUAGUUUUGUCGCUCUAAAUAUUAUAUUGUUUUUAAAUACACUUUUAUUCA